This is a long non-coding RNA of Pogoniulus pusillus (Red-fronted tinkerbird), 417 nucleotides long. RefSeq lists it as uncharacterized. The transcript has 3 exons. Lineage: Eukaryota; Metazoa; Chordata; Aves; Piciformes; Lybiidae. The record is from RefSeq and is a predicted model, not a curated record.
GGGAAGUUUAGUUUAUAUUUAAAAGAAAUGAACAAGCAUGUUUUUUUUUUUCGGAAAGAACUUUUGUUGGUGUGUUGGAGGUGAUUUGCCAUGAUAGACCAUGUGCACGGAGAAGAAGCAAGGAAUGAAGUCUCCGUGGGUCUGUGGAGGGACUGUGAUCUUCUGUCUCCUCUCUGGGUGUCCUUCUGGCCUGCAAAGACCCUGGGGUAGACUCUCCAAGUCCAGUCUUCACCAAUCACAUGCUAAUAACUUCAGCUGAAAGAGGGCUCUACCCUAAUGUCAUUAUACUCCCAAGCAAUGAUUGAUUGUGUUAUAGUAUGUUUUUGAAACCUAAUUACUGUCUCAGUUUGUAUUUGAGCUCAUUAAUCUUCUAGCCUGUAAAUAAGUAAAAUUGACUAAAUAACUGAAUUUCUUUAA